GGAUUAUGUAACUGGACAGAAUAUAAAUACUUGAGGGAAUUAUUCUGAACAUUCAUUGCAAGAUUUGUAGAAGAAAAUCAGCACAUUUUCUGUCAUAAUGUCGAGCAAACAUUUACAAACUGGCGAUGCAAGACCUGCUUUUGACAACACGAAGAAAUUCCGUAUUUACAGCAUGAAAUUCUGUCCAUUCGCUCAGGUGUGUAAUAGAUACAGUAUAUGGAUAACAAUCUCGAUUAUAGGAAUAUUCAGUUGAAAUUAGCAAAAUAAUUGGGAAAAAAACUAAAACUAUAGCCAAGCUCUGAUUGGUUUUACAGUAAGAAUAUCUUCUUGCCAUGGAGAAUUAUAAAAUUGAAAAUUGUUUAUUGUCAUGGAAUUGUAUGAACCUGGGACUGUAUAGAAUCUAAUUCAACAAGGGAGGAAAGACAAGAAAAUACAAACUACCUGUUGCAACUAAAUUGUGUUUAAGGUUAAGCUACCCCGGUACGGAUAUAUUGCCAUUAUAUUUUGUUAACCAAAUUUUGCUGCAUGAUGUCGGCAUGUUUACCCAUAAUGUUCAGUGGC
Paramuricea clavata is the source of this 561-nucleotide non-coding RNA. NCBI's taxonomy places the organism in Eukaryota, Metazoa, Cnidaria, Anthozoa, Malacalcyonacea, Plexauridae. The record is from the annotation of a GenBank genome assembly.